This 468-nucleotide ribosomal RNA is filed under the name uncultured bacterium. RNAcentral's name for it is "partial 16S ribosomal RNA". It matches the Rfam family "Bacterial small subunit ribosomal RNA", at positions 28 to 507 of the family's 1533-position model. The record is from RNAcentral.
GACGAACGCUGGCGGCGUGCUUAACACAUGCAAGUCGAACGGAAAGGCCCUGAUUUUGUGGGGUGCUCGAGUGGCGAACGGGGGAGUAACACGUGAGUAACCUGCCCUUGACUUUGGGAUAACUUCAGGAAACAGGGGCUAAUAUCGGAUAGGAGCUCCUGCUGCAUGGUGGGCGUUGGAAAGUGUCGGCGGUUGGGGCUGGACUCGCGGCUUAUGCGCUUGUUGGUGGGGUAGGCGAUUACCAAGGCUUUGACGGAUAGCCGGCCUGGGAGGGUGGCCGGCGUCAUGAGUACUACGAGACGCCGCAGUCGCCAACGGGAGGCAGCAGUCGGAAGUAUUACACAGUGGGCGGAAGCCUGAUGCAACAACGCCGCGUGCGUAAUGACGGCCUUCGGGUUGUAAACCGCUUUCGCCUGAGACGAAGCGUGAGUGACGGUAAUGAGUAAAGAAGCACCGGCUAACUACGUG